Molecule: ribosomal RNA, 518 nt
Filed under: uncultured bacterium
Lineage: Bacteria
Description: bacterial SSU rRNA
Rfam family: Bacterial small subunit ribosomal RNA
Source: RNAcentral
CCUGACGCACCGACGCCUCGUGAGUGAUGAAGGUCUUCGGAUUGUAAAGCUCUGUCUUUUGGGACGAUAAUGACGGAACCAAAGGAGGAAGCCACGGCUAACUACUUGCCAGCAGCCGCGGGAAUACGUAGGUGGCAAGCGUUGUCCGGAAUUACUGGGCGUAAAGGAUGUGUAGGCGGAUAUUUAAGUGAGAUGUGAAAUCCCCGAGCUCAACUUGGGGGCUGCAUUUCAAACUGGGUAUCCAGAGUGCAGGAGAGGAAAGCGGAAUUCCUAGUGUAUCGGUGAAUUGCGUAGAGAUUACGAAGAACAUCAGUGGCGAAGGCGGUUUUCUGGACUGUAACUGACGCUGAGGCAUGAAAGCGUGGGGAGCAAACAGGAUUAGAUACCCUGGUAGUCCACGCCGUAAACGAUGAGUACUAGGUGUAGGAGGUAUCGACUCCUUCUGUGCCGCAGUUAACACAAUAAGUACUCCGCCUGGGAAGUACGGUCGCAAGAUUAAAACUCAAAGGAAUUGACGG